UACGUAGGGUGCGAGCGUUAAUCGGAAUUACUGGGCGUAAAGGGCGCGUAGGCGGUGCUCUAAGUCAGGCGUGAAAGCCCUGGGCUCAACCCGGGAAUUGCGCUUGAUACUGGGGCGCUUGAAUCCAGGAGAGGUUGGUGGAAUUCCCAGUGUAGAGGUGAAAUUCGUAGAGAUUGGGAAGAACACCGGUGGCGAAGGCGGC
This 202-nucleotide ribosomal RNA is filed under the name uncultured bacterium. RNAcentral describes it as "partial 16S ribosomal RNA". It matches the Rfam family "Bacterial small subunit ribosomal RNA", at positions 524 to 725 of the family's 1533-position model. The record is from RNAcentral.